UACGUGAUCCUUAAGCGUUAUCCGGAUUUAUUGGGCGUAAAGCGUCCGUAGGCGGUUAGGAAAGUCUUUGGUUAAAUACCCACGGCUCAACCGGGGGGCUGCCAGAGAAACUGCCUGACUAGAGAGCGUUAGGGGCUGGUGGAACGAUCGGUGUAGGGGUGAAAUCCGUUGAUAUCGAUCGGAAUACCAAAAGCGAAGGCGUCCAGCUAGGGCGACUCUGACGCUGAGGGACGAAAGCGUGGGGAGCAAAAAGGAUUAGAUACCCCCGUA
RNAcentral lists this ribosomal RNA (270 nucleotides) under uncultured prokaryote. RNAcentral's name for it is "partial 16S ribosomal RNA". It matches the Rfam family "Bacterial small subunit ribosomal RNA", at positions 524 to 792 of the family's 1533-position model. The record is from RNAcentral.